RNAcentral lists this ribosomal RNA (271 nucleotides) under uncultured bacterium. RNAcentral describes it as "partial 16S ribosomal RNA". It matches the Rfam family "Bacterial small subunit ribosomal RNA", at positions 83 to 353 of the family's 1533-position model. The record is from RNAcentral.
GUUUGAUGGCGACCGGCGCACGGGUGAGUAACACGUAUCCAACCUGCCGAUGACUCGGGGAUAGCCUUUCGAAAGAAAGAUUAAUACCCGAUGGCAUAGUUCUUCCGCAUGGUGGAACUAUUAAAGAAUUUCGGUCAUCGAUGGGGAUGCGUUCCAUUAGGUUGUUGGCGGGGUAACGGCCCACCAAGCCUUCGAUGGAUGGGGGUUCUGAGAGGAAGGUCCCCCACAUUGGAACUGAGACACGGUCCAAACUCCUACGGGAGGCAGCAUG